GUGCCAGCAGCCGCGGUAAUACGUAGGUCACAAGCGUUGUCCGGAUUUAUUGGGCGUAAAGGGAGCGCAGGCGGUUUGUUAAGUCUGAUGUGAAAGCCCACGGCUCAACCGUGGAACGGCAUUGGAAACUGGCAAACUUGAGUAUAGAAGAGGAAAGUGGAAUUCCAUGUGUAGCGGUGAAAUGCGUAGAUAUAUGGAGGAACACCAGUGGCGAAGGCGACUUUCUGGUCUAUAACUGACGCUGAGGCUCGAAAGCGUGGGGAGCGAACAGGAUUAGAUACCCUGGUAGUCC
Molecule: ribosomal RNA, 292 nt
Filed under: uncultured microorganism
Description: partial 16S ribosomal RNA
Rfam family: Bacterial small subunit ribosomal RNA
Source: RNAcentral